UGAGAUUCAAACUUGUAACCGCUUGGUCAUCAAGACUCUGAUACUAUGUUAAAGAACUAUUUCAAUCUAAAAACUUAAACUAUUAGGUGAGGUGCCAAAAUAUUAUUUAUAUUAUUUUUUAACAAUUCAUGAGAGUAAAUCGAACUUUACAAGACAAGAUGCGACUAGAUGAAACCGAACAAGGCGAAUGUCUCAUAGUAGGUGUGGGAUAAAAAAUAGUCUAUGGAUCCAUGUGCUCGCUCACCAAACACUAAGGUAAGUGAAAUCUACCUCAACAUGUACAUUCUCAUAAGUUAAAGAACAAGGUAUUUGACAUGAUCAUGUGUGUUCCAUAGCUUCACUUGAAACUUUGGCAGUUAUUUUACUUAUUCCUGUUUUUGCAUUCAGUAUAAUUAAGACUAUUAUCUCCCUCAAUACACAGGCUCCACAGUUGUGUGAGGCAUGUCACUAAUGCUUUGACAUUUCCAAUGUAACUGUAAUUCCUCCUUGGGGUGGCCAGGAUGACAAUCAUGAAGGACAGCUAAUGUUUGGCAAUUUAAAUUAUGGAAGCACAAUAUGGUCCAAGCCAAUAAUGUCGAGCUACAAUAAUCAACCAUGAGCUAUAAUUAUUCCUUCCUGUGUUCUUUGAUUGAAGCCUUGUUCCUUUGUGAUGAACCCUAGCUAGCUAGCAUUUUCAUAACCUAUUCACAUAACUUAUGUUUUAAGCUUUAUAUAAAGUCCAUUAAUUCUGUAAGGACACAAUUUUUAUGCUAGCAACGAAAGAUAAACAGGUACAAACACACAAAGUAAUAGAGGGCGAUUGAAGGACAAAAACCAAGCUGAGCCUGGGAGAUGUCUACAAUAUUAUUAAAUAAAAUAUCGUAAAACUAGAUGGGAUAGGAAACAAAAACAAAGAUUAAUGUUCUGAAAUGAUUAAUGGUCAUUCUUACAGUGUUUAAGCAUACAAAAUCACUGAAGAAGAGGAAGAGAAAAUUAGUUUGGUCGCCCAAAAGACACAACAACUUGAAGAAAUGAUACCUUGGAAUCUCAUCCGGAGUUAAGAUGCCACAUAUGUUUUAUUAUUUUUUACUUUCUUCCAUUUUCUUAGAAACCAAACAUAGAAAAAAAGGAAAAAAAAGGAAAAAAAAGAAAAGCAAAAAAGGGGAAGGUAAUUCAAAGCCAAGAAUUAGACUUGCCUAGAGGCGUCAUUGCCUCUUAUCACCAUCUUUCUUUUGAAUCUUUAGGCCACGGAUCUAAGGCUGUUUCAUUAUGCCCAGAAAGGAAUCCUUCAAACAGUCUUCUCUCCCAAAGUGCCAUGAUGAUCUCCUCCUUCGACUCGACCUGCAAUGGAAACCCUAAUCGGAAAAGAAAAUCUGAUCAAGAAAAAGAAGGAAGGAAGGAGGAAAAGAAGAUGCCAACAUUUUCAUGUUCUUGGUUAUUUAUACACGCCAUGAGUACUGAGGCUAAGAGGUUUCUUGGGUCUUGGGUUUUAGACGGAUGACAGGAACUAAAAUAGAAGAAAAUAAAUUAAUGUAAGCCACGUACAAGUGAGGGUCUACUUUGAUAUAAUAUAUACAAUGAAGGAAAUAUAUCUCAUUAAUUUAAUGAACCUAUGGUGGGAAUAUAAGGUGAACCAUCUAAAUGUAAGGUCCAUUAAGAAAAUAAAAAUAAUUAGCCAUCAUUAAUAAAGAAAGGAAAAAUUACAAGUG
RNAcentral lists this long non-coding RNA (1688 nucleotides) under Populus trichocarpa (black cottonwood). RNAcentral describes it as "long non-coding RNA (PTRI_LNC004150)". Lineage: Eukaryota; Viridiplantae; Streptophyta; Magnoliopsida; Malpighiales; Salicaceae. The record is from RNAcentral.